RNAcentral lists this long non-coding RNA (2851 nucleotides) under Musa acuminata (dwarf banana). RNAcentral describes it as "long non-coding RNA (MACU_LNC005104)". The record is from RNAcentral. Lineage: Eukaryota; Viridiplantae; Streptophyta; Magnoliopsida; Zingiberales; Musaceae.
GUUUAGUAUGCGAACCUGAGUCACCACUGUAGUGCGGCACUGUGAUAGUGGUCAUCGACGAACCAAUUUAACACAAGAAUUCUCCCAAUACAAACAACUAAACAGUGACAUCCUCGAUCGUGAUGUAAAAGCAUUAUUCCCAGCAGAAAUGACGCACAAGAACCAUGCAUCCGAUUGAUAAGCCCACAGAUGCGUGUCAUUACCUGACGGCAAGUGAGGCAUCUCUCUUUCUCAUUCACUGUACAUGAUCGCUACACUGGUACCCAUCACGACAACUGUUCCACCGUGACCUAAGAUGCCCCACAAACAUUGUCUGCCGAAGCGAAAGACGAAGGUCCGAUGGGCUCGAUUCCACCGUAGAACAGGUGGGGUUGUGAGUGAGAGCCACAACAUGGUCUAUCCUGCGAGAGAGCUAAUGGAAAUGGACCAAGUUGCAAGGCCAUACUUUGCCAUGCUCACAAUGCGACAAUGCAACACGAACGUCGAAAGAGUGACAUACCGUGGACAUGGGCCAUACAAACCGGAUGAUACUGCCUAUUACCAGUCUUGGGUACUCCCUGUUUCGAGGAACCAAUGGUCGACUCUGCCGGUUGUUUUGGUCCAAGAAGAAAACCGCUGGCUUCUGCCUCUUGUUCCACCAUCGCCUUCGUCCUUUGAGGUUCUAUAUAUACGCCUCUUUCGAUCGCCCUUCGAAUGAUCGGCCCAUCGCACAGAAUUUCCUCUUUUCCUACCGCAACACUAUCAUCUUCUCUUGUACAGGAUGAAGUUCGGAAACAAGGCAUGCGUGGCUGUGACUUUGGGAGCUGCAAUUGAACUAAAAGAUCAAGUGGCCAAACCGUAUUCGUCGGCUAUUAAGGGAAACCUGUCGACGAUUGGAUCAUCGACAGCCGAAGUCGGACGGUUCCAUAGCACGCCCGAGAGCCCAACGAGCGAAUUCAGGCCUCACGAUAAGAAGCAUUUAGCUGGGGAGGAGUCACUGAGGACGGUGAUGUACUUGAGCUGCUGGGGUCCGAGCUGACCAGCUGAGACACAAUUGGCGUGCUGGGUCGUCUUCACUUCACCGUAGCCCACGCUUGCUCUCUGGGUACUCCUUGCAGCACGAAUUCCAACACGGAGGUACGCCCAUAACAUCGCAGAGAUGCUGCACCAAGGCUCCCAAGUUUGAAGCCAAGAAGGGCCUCGAGGAGCUGAAUACAUGUACAAAGCAAUGUGAUCUUUUCAGAAUUUUGUAUUCAGUCUAUAAUCAAUGAUAAAUAAAACGCUAUAAACAGAGGUACUUUUGCAUGAAAGAAGACGAACCCCUUCUAUAUGCUGUACAAUACACAACGUACAUACACUGCUACAUAAAGAAAUCAAGUCCGCUUGCAUGUAGCAUGUACGUAUACCGUGCAACUUUGUCCUCAAUGUUGCUUAUUCUACUUCGAUGUGUGAUGAAUCUAAAGUCACAUUUAUGGCUCCUUAAUCUCUAACGAGUUUGAUGUCAAAGAAGGUAAAUGCAAAUGGCCACAAGAAAACACGGACUUAUGGAAUUGAAUCAUAAUUAAAACUAAAUUUUGGAUGAAUUGCGUCCGAGCUUAUCUCUGGAAACCCUCAGAGUCAACGAAACUAUGAUUGCUGAAGCAGAUCGGACAGGCCCCCAUCCUCAUCUGAUCGUGAGGUUGUGGCGUCCCAUCACUUUUAAGGUCUCGAUAUAAAUCAUGUUAGGAAACUAUAGGGGAUGUAAAGCUUAAGGCACCGGCCGUAAUUUUGAUGCUUUUCAUCCGUACUUAUACUCUCCUUCCUUCGUUAACCACGUCGUAUUUCUCGGUCAGCAGAAUUAAUUCUUUGCAUCUUUAAUCGUCUAUUUACCGUGGCUUUCCGAUCAAGGGCGGAUCCUCUCUGAUGUGAUGAAGCAUCUUUGAUCAUGGCAUAUGAUUGCUCCCUCGACAGGGUUCCAAUCGUGGGCCCCCACCCCCACAUCCAACCUCCCUAAAGGACAAGAGAAACUUAUUAGCUGCUCAUUAGCCAGCACACGGUGACUCACCGGGUCACCACCUUCUCUUUGGUGACGGAUAAGGCCGAGAGGGCAGCUUUCCCUAUCCAUCGCACGCUACCCCACAAAGUCUCCGAUUUCUCUUUGUUCUUUUCUCAAUUUUUUUUUACAAUAGAUUAUGACAAUUUAGACUUGUUUUUGUUUGGGAUCCACUCCGAUCGCUGUUCUCUUCAAAUUCCAAUGGGAUCCCUCCAGCAUUCCACAGCCCUUGCGGAGGAUCCCAUCAUGACACCGAACAAUUAAUCGCAAACAGAAACAGGGCGUCAGAAUAAUGAUUUCUCCCGGACGACUUAACUCACGACCUAACUCACCUGGUUCCCACUAGAGUUAAAGUGCCCCCUACGCUCGCUUUCAUCUGUAUGAUGUGUCCCUUUUUUUAUCUUCGUUUAAUUCCUAAUACCGGAAACCACGAUUCUCCACCCACGGUUUUUCAGAAAACCGCUUCUCGUCCCUCGCUAUAAAUAACCCCAUACCCCCAACCCGGUUUCAUCUCCUUCGGCUGCACGGCCCUCCGGUAAACGAUUGAAUUCGCACCAAAGUUAUACCAAGAAGGAUCGAGAACGAUCCGUGGUGCUCGUCAGAUCAGGAUCGAAAGGGAUCUGCGAAAGAAUGAGUUACCUGAAUCGAGUCUGGAUGGCAGCGACGGUGGCGGUGGUGCAGGGACACACCGACCACGGAAUCAACUCCAGCCAGCUCCGCUCCCUCCACCGUGCCGGGGACCGCCUAGCCUCCGCCGCGGCCGCGGCCGCUGCCACGGGGGUCGGGAUCGGGCGGGCUCUAGGUGGAGCCGGCGCCGAGGAGCGCCGGAAGCAGGCGGAC